CACAUGCAAGUCGAGCGGCAGCGGGAAAGUAGCUUGCUACUUUUGCCGGCGAGCGGCGGACGGGUGAGUAAUGCCUGGGAAAUUGCCCAGUCGAGGGGGAUAACAGUUGGAAACGACUGCUAAUACCGCAAACGCCCUACGGGGGAAAGCAGGGGACCUUCGGGCCUUGCGCGAUUGGAUAUGCCCAGGUGGGAUUAGCUAGUUGGUGAGGUAAUGGCUCACCAAGGCGACGAUCCCUAGCUGGUCUGAGAGGAUGAUCUGCCACACUGGAACUGAGACACGGUCCACACUCCUACGGGAGGCAGCAUUGGGGAAUAUUGCACAAUGGGGGAAACCCUGAUGCAGCCAUGCCGCGUGUGUGAAGAAGGCCUUCGGGUUGUAAAGCACUUUCAGCGAGGAGGAAAGGUUGGUAGCUAAUAACUGCCAGCUGUGACGUUACUCGCAGAAGAAGCACCGGCUAACUCCAUGCCAGCAGCCACGGUAAUACGGAGGGUGCAAGCGUUAAUCGGAAUUACUGGGCGUAAAGCGCACGCAGGCAGGUGGAUAAGUUAGAUGUGAAAGCCCCGGGCUCAACCUGGGAAUUGCAUUUAAAACUGUCCAGCUAGAGUCUUGUAGAGGGGGGUAGAAUUCCCGGU
Molecule: ribosomal RNA, 635 nt
Filed under: Aeromonas caviae
Lineage: Bacteria; Pseudomonadati; Pseudomonadota; Gammaproteobacteria; Aeromonadales; Aeromonadaceae
Description: bacterial SSU rRNA
Rfam family: Bacterial small subunit ribosomal RNA
Source: RNAcentral